GAUGAACGCUGGCGGCGUGCCUAAUACAUGCAAGUCGAGCGAACGGACGAGAAGCUUGCUUCUCUGAUGUUAGCGGCGGACGGGUGAGUAACACGUGGAUAACCUACCUAUAAGACUGGGAUAACUUCGGGAAACCGGAGCUAAUACCGGAUAAUAUUUUGAACGGCAUGGUUCAAAAGUGAAAGACGGUCUUGCUGUCACUUAUAGAUGGAUCCGCGCUGCAUUAGCUAGUUGGUAAGGUAACGGCUUACCAAGGCAACGAUGCAUAGCCGACCUGAGAGGGUGAUCGGCCACACUGGAACUGAGACACGGUCCAGACUCCUACGGGAGGCAGCAGUAGGGAAUCUUGCGCAAUGGGCGAAAGCCUGACGGAGCAACGCCGCGUGAGUGAUGAAGGUCUUCGGAUCGUAAAACUCUGUUAUUAGGGAAGAACAUAUGUGUAAGUAACUGUGCACAUCUUGACGGUACCUAAGCAGAAAGCCACGGCUAACUACGU
RNAcentral lists this ribosomal RNA (496 nucleotides) under uncultured bacterium. Its description in RNAcentral is "partial 16S ribosomal RNA". It matches the Rfam family "Bacterial small subunit ribosomal RNA", at positions 28 to 506 of the family's 1533-position model. The record is from RNAcentral.